This 492-nucleotide ribosomal RNA is filed under the name uncultured bacterium. RNAcentral describes it as "partial 16S ribosomal RNA". It matches the Rfam family "Bacterial small subunit ribosomal RNA", at positions 29 to 507 of the family's 1533-position model. The record is from RNAcentral.
AGUGAACGCUGGCGGUAGGCCUAACACAUGCAAGUCGAACGGCAGCACAGUAAGAGCUUGCUCUUACGGGUGGCGAGUGGCGGACGGGUGAGGAAUACAUCGGAAUCUACUUUUUCGUGGGGGAUAACGUAGGGAAACUUACGCUAAUACCGCAUACGACCUACGGGUGAAAGCAGGGGAUCUUCGGACCUUGCGCGAUUGAAUGAGCCGAUGUCGGAUUAGCUAGUUGGCGGGGUAAAGGCCCACCAAGGCGACGAUCCGUAGCUGGUCUGAGAGGAUGAUCGGCCACACUGGAGCUGGGACACGGUCCAUGCUCCUACGGGAGGCAGCAGUGGGGAAUAUUGGACAAUGGGCGCAAGCCUGGUCCAGCCAUACCGCGUGGGUGAAGAAGGCCUUCGGGUUGUAAAGCCCUUUUGUUGGGAAAGAAAAGCAGCAGGUUAAGACCCCGCUGUUCUGACGGUACCCAAAGAAUAAGCACCGGCUAACUUCGUG